Molecule: long non-coding RNA, 784 nt
Organism: Lycium barbarum (goji berry)
Lineage: Eukaryota; Viridiplantae; Streptophyta; Magnoliopsida; Solanales; Solanaceae
Exons: 3
Source: RefSeq, a predicted model, not a curated record
GUUUUUUUUUGCCGACAUAAAAUUUUCGGACCUCAAUUCUCGCAUACAUUUGUAUGAUAACUUAGAUUGCCUCUUGGAGAAUUCAUUCUUGAAGGAAGGUAUAUGCAUCACCUAUUUUGUAGAAGCAACAACGUUAUUUCUUUCCAUAGCAGUAGCAACGUUUUCCUUCCAAUUUCAACAAAGAGCAACCAGUGUUCUUCUCUUAUUUCAAAGAUUAAGUAUAGCUAUUUUUAUUCAUCGAUUUCAUGGUUAUGACAUUGGUUUUAUCCGGAUCUUAGCAAGUUGGAAAUAUACCUUGUGGUGAAUUAUCCUAAGAUUGAGGCGAAAAGAGCGACGAGGCAAAAAGGAUUCACGAAUAGUCGCCGACAGGUACAGCUAGUCGGUUUGGUGACCCUUCAGCAUAGGACUUCUACUCAGCUAUCUUGGAGAGCUCCGUUGUUCCGGAGUUUAGACUUUCAGUACAGAUCUUGUGAGAUAUAUGUAUAUGUUAUCCAGGGGUAUGGCGGGGCCCUGUCCCGUCAUAUGUUACUGUUGAUACUCUUAGAGGUCUGUAGACAUAUAUGUGGGUUGUGUACAGGUUUGAUCAGCUGUGUCUUUGUUUAUGGGUUCUGUUCAGCCGUGUCUAUACGAUGUGCUGUGGUAUGAUAUUCGUCUAUAGUGGCAGCCUUGUCGGCUUGCAUGUGAUAUUGAUAUGUGAUGGCAGCCUUGUCGGCUUACGUAUUAUUUCAUGAUAUGAUCAGUUGUGACUCCUCAGGAGACAGUGUAUCUGAAUAUACAUAUAUGA